UACGGAAGGCAGCAGUGGGGAAUAUUGCACAAUGGGCGCAAGCCUGAUGCAGCCAUGCCGCGUGUAUGAAGAAGGCCUUCGGGUUGUAAAGUACUUUCAGUCGUGAGGAAGGUGUUAAGGUUAAUAACCUUAGCAAUUGACGUUAGCGACAGAAGAAGCACCGGCUAACUCCGUGCCAGCAGCCGCGGUAAUACGGAGGGUGCGAGCGUUAAUCGGAAUUACUGGGCGUAAAGGGCACGCAGGCGGUUAAUUAAGUUGGAUGUGAAAUCCCCGGGCUUAACCUGGGAAUGGCAUUCAAGACUGGUUAGCUAGAGUCUUGUAGAGGGGGUAGAAUUCCAUGUGUAGCGGUGAAAUGCGUAGAGAUGUGGAGGAAUACCGGUGGCGAAGGCGGCCCCUGGACAAAGGCUGACGCUCGAUGUGCGAAAGCGUGGGGAGCAAACAGGGAUUAGAUACC
Molecule: ribosomal RNA, 454 nt
Filed under: uncultured bacterium
Lineage: Bacteria
Description: bacterial SSU rRNA
Rfam family: Bacterial small subunit ribosomal RNA
Source: RNAcentral